This 511-nucleotide ribosomal RNA is filed under the name uncultured bacterium. Its description in RNAcentral is "partial 16S ribosomal RNA". It matches the Rfam family "Bacterial small subunit ribosomal RNA", at positions 28 to 507 of the family's 1533-position model. The record is from RNAcentral.
GACAAACGCUGGCGGCAUGCCUAACACAUGCAAGUCGAACGGACAGAGCAGGGAAGCUUUUUGGAGUGGAACUGGAAAGUUAGAGGCGGAAGGGAGAGUAACGCGUGGACAACCUACCUUGUAAAGGGGAAUAACCUCGAGAAAUCGAAGCUAAUACCACAUAAUAACCUAGGUUGGCAUGAAGCAAGGAGGGAACGCGGCCAUAGCCCUGUCGAUACAUGAUGGGUUCGCGUCUGAUUAGCUAGUUGGUGCGGUAAAGGCUCACCAAGGCGACGAUCAGUAGCCGGCCUGAGAGGGUGAACCGCCACAUUGGGACUGAGACACGGCCCAGACUCCUACGGGAGGCAGCAGUGGGGAAUCUUCCACAAUGGGCGAAAGCCUGACGGAGCAAUACCGCGUGAGUGAAGAAGGCCUUCGGGUUGUAAAGCUCUGUCCUUAUCGAAGAAAGAGUGUUGUAGUAACUGACAAUACUAUGACGGUAGAUAAGGAGGAAGCCCCGGCUAACUAUGUG